Molecule: non-coding RNA, 73 nt
Organism: Pangasius djambal
Lineage: Eukaryota; Metazoa; Chordata; Actinopteri; Siluriformes; Pangasiidae
Source: the annotation of a GenBank genome assembly
GCUGUGGUAGCUCAGUGGUUAAGAUGUUGGUCUACUGAUUGGAAGGUCAUGAGUUCAAGUCCCAGCUCCACCA